Molecule: ribosomal RNA, 422 nt
Filed under: uncultured bacterium
Lineage: Bacteria
Description: bacterial SSU rRNA
Rfam family: Bacterial small subunit ribosomal RNA
Source: RNAcentral
UGAGGAAUAUUGGGCAAUGCCCGCAAGGGUGACCCAGCAACGCCGCGUGGAGGAUGAAUGUCGUAAGAUUGUAAACUCCUGUUAGAGGGGAAGAAUAGUACCGGUUGGACCGGUAUAUGACUGUACCCUCAGAGAAAGCCCCGGCUAACUACGUGCCAGCAGCCGCGGUAAUACGUAGGGGGCAAGCGUUGUCCGGAUUUACGGGGUGUAAAGGGCGCGCAGGCGGGAUAAAAAGUCAGUGGUGAAAUCCUACAGCUUAACUGUAGAACUGCCUUUGAUACUUUUAUUCUUGAGUUCGGGAGAGAGAGACGGAAUUCCAGGUGUAGUGGUGAAAUACGUAGAUAUCUGGAAGAACACCAGUUGCGAAGGCGGUCUCUUGGUCCGACACUGACGCUGAGGCGCGAAAGCGUGGGGAGCAAACA